RNAcentral lists this ribosomal RNA (468 nucleotides) under uncultured bacterium. Its description in RNAcentral is "partial 16S ribosomal RNA". It matches the Rfam family "Bacterial small subunit ribosomal RNA", at positions 28 to 507 of the family's 1533-position model. The record is from RNAcentral.
GAUGAACGCUGGCGGCGUGCUUAACACAUGCAAGUCGAACGGAAAGGCCCAAGCUUGCUUGGGUACUCGAGUGGCGAACGGGUGAGUAACACGUGGGCGAUCUGCCCUGCACUUCGGGAUAAGCCUGGGAAACUGGGUCUAAUACCGGAUAGGACGAUGGUUUGGAUGCCAUUGUGGAAAGUUUUUUCGGUGUGGGAUGAGCUCGCGGCCUAUCAGCUUGUUGGUGGGGUAAUGGCCUACCAAGGCGUCGACGGGUAGCCGGCCUGAGAGGGUGUACGGCCACAUUGGGACUGAGAUACGGCCCAGACUCCUACGGGAGGCAGCAGUGGGGAAUAUUGCACAAUGGGCGCAAGCCUGAUGCAGCGACGCCGCGUGGGGGAUGACGGCCUUCGGGUUGUAAACUCCUGUCGCUAGGGACGAAGCGUUUUUGUGACGGUACCUGGAGAAGAAGCACCGGCUAACUACGUG